RNAcentral lists this transfer RNA (71 nucleotides) under Loxodonta africana (African savanna elephant). It matches the Rfam family "tRNA". From Rfam's summary of the family: Transfer RNA (tRNA) molecules are approximately 80 nucleotides in length. The record is from Rfam by way of RNAcentral. Lineage: Eukaryota; Metazoa; Chordata; Mammalia; Proboscidea; Elephantidae.
ACAGUGGUGGUUCAGUGGUAGAAUUCUCACCUUCCAUGCAGAAGACCUGGGUUCGAAUCCCGGCCAGUGCA